UAAUAUCUCACGUCUAUCAUGGACUAGAAUAAUCAUAACAAAUUAAAAGUACUUUACUGCGCAAGAUCUAGAGUAUGAAAUAACUAAAAAUAUAAAAGUACAGAUUAUUUACAACGAGCCCGAUGAAGAAAGAAAUCGGACUGUCAUAAUGCAUGAUGGCGAAGAAUUCUAACUGUCACCUGAAAAAUAAAAAUGAGAUUGUCAGUCUCGGGAGUGAGUUAAAAUCAAAUAAUCCUAUGACUAAUGCAGUCUCCUCUAUAAAAUAAUACUUAUUAUCUCAGUAUAACAUGCCAUUGUACAUCAAAUGCGAGUCAUACCAUAAUAAAAAAUAUAAAAUACAUUUCAAGACUUAUGGGAUGAGUGGCUCAGUAGAACUCUAACCCCAAAUACUAGCAGCCUUUCGACUCUCUUAUUCCAAUAGGUCUGGCGUCUAGAAAGCGAAUCUCGACUAGGGUCCUUACAUCCAACCUGAACACUUGAUUCCCAACUAAGCCGGCGCCUAGAGAGCAUUGCUCGACUAGGGACCUUUCUCCGGCAGUUAACUUUCACAACCUAGAGAGUUAUACUCGACCAGGGCAAAAAUCCAAAAUAACAUUGUUACCUAUCUCUGAUUAUUACCAGUGCGCACGCGGUCCUGAUAUAAUCCAUCAAGUGGCAUGUUCUACUAUAGCCUCAUCCCAAUGUCACAAUCAUAACACAUAUAUAUUAAUCAUAGUCUAACAUAAUCAUUCAACACAUACCGAAAUAAAGAUUUAGAAAUUUGGAUAAAGCAAACAUGCAUUUUGUGUAUAUAAAUAAUAAUAAUUGUAUUAAAAUAACAUUAAUUAUGAUAUCAAAAUAACGAUAUAAUUUCAAUAAUAAUAUUAUUAAAAUUAUUCUUAGUAAUUAAUAAUUAAAUGAAAUUAUUUAUAAUGCGAUACUGAUAAUCGCAUUAGACAUAAAUUACUAAAGCAUCGUAUUAAAUUUAGACAUAACAAUAGUGCAGUGAUUAUAUGAUUUUAACUUACAUUUCUGACGCGCUCCUCAGUCGUUACGUUACGGAUUAAGGAAGAAACUGACCUACCCUGGUAGCAUGAAGAAAGCUAUCGGUUAAGCCUAAGAUUGGCUGGUUCGGCGGAUAAGAAGGAGCUCAAUUCAAAUAUCAAUUUGGCUCAUUCAUCUCUUGGUGUUGAUUGUUACAGGUCUCUCAGUCUGCUCCUAUGCCUCAGGUGGAGCUGGCGGGAAGGAUGGAUUAUCUAUCUAUGAAAACACUCAAUUAAUAGAUAUUCUUAAAUUUUUUUUCUAGGCCUAGACCCUUAGAUUAGACUACCUAAAAUUAAUUUAGACUCAAGAAAUUUGUCGAAAAUUCAGUAGAACUUCUCCUACAUUACGAACAUUUACCCCCUGUAAAAGGGGUCCAGAACCUGCCAAAGUGUAACACCCCAACUCAAACUUCCCAUUGAAUAGCAAUAUAUAUAUAUAUAUAUAUAUAACUUUAUAAACAUAAUUUACUACUUAGUUACAAUAUACAUUCAUACAAUUUAAGUGGCAUGACAUACUUAAUAUAUAUAAGAAAUAUUUAUACAGUAGUUUAAUUCACACAAGUUCCCAAAAUGCCCCAAUGCUUUAGAUAACUCCUCUGGCCCACCUGAUAAUAUUGACUGAUGCAAAAAGAGCAAUGCACAGCUAAGGCUAUCUACAACUGCACUAACC
Molecule: long non-coding RNA, 1692 nt
Filed under: Ricinus communis (castor bean)
Lineage: Eukaryota; Viridiplantae; Streptophyta; Magnoliopsida; Malpighiales; Euphorbiaceae
Description: long non-coding RNA (RCOM_LNC003365)
Source: RNAcentral